Molecule: ribosomal RNA, 506 nt
Filed under: uncultured bacterium
Lineage: Bacteria
Description: partial 16S ribosomal RNA
Rfam family: Bacterial small subunit ribosomal RNA
Source: RNAcentral
AGUGAACGCUGGCGGUAGGCCUAACACAUGCAAGUCGAACGGCAGCACAGAGGAGCUUGCUCCUUGGGUGGCGAGUGGCGGACGGGUGAGGAAUACAUCGGAAUCUACUCUGUCGUGGGGGAUAACGUAGGGAAACUUACGCUAAUACCGCAUACGACCUACGGGUGAAAGCAGGGGACCUUCGGGCCUUGCGCGAUUGAAUGAGCCGAUGUCGGAUUAGCUAGUUGGCGGGGUAAAGGCCCACCAAGGCGACGACCCGUAGCUGGUCUGAGAGGAUGAUCAGCCACACUGGAACUGAGACGCGGUCCAGACUCCUACGGGAGGCAGCAGUGGGGAAUAUUGGACAAUGGGCGCAAGCCUGAUCCAGCCAUACCGCGUGGGUGAAGAAGGCCUUCGGGUUGUAAAGCCCUUUUGUUGGGAAAGAAAUCCAGCUGGCUAAUACCCGGUUGGGAUGACGGUACCCAAAGAAUAAGCACCGGCUAACUUCGUGCCAGCAGCCGCAGUAA